This 484-nucleotide ribosomal RNA is filed under the name uncultured bacterium. RNAcentral's name for it is "partial 16S ribosomal RNA". It matches the Rfam family "Bacterial small subunit ribosomal RNA", at positions 29 to 507 of the family's 1533-position model. The record is from RNAcentral.
AUUGAACGCUGGCGGCAUGCUUUACACAUGCAAGUCGAACGGCAGCGCGGGCUUCGGCCUGGCGGCGAGUGGCGAACGGGUGAGUAAUACAUCGGAACGUGCCCGGUAGUGGGGGAUAGCUCGGCGAAAGCCGGAUUAAUACCGCAUACGACCUGAGGGUGAAGGCGGGGGAUCUUCGGACCUCGCGCUAUUGGAGCGGCCGAUGGCAGAUUGGCUAGUUGGUGGGGUAAAGGCCUACCAAGGCGACGAUCUGUAGCUGGUCUGAGAGGACGACCAGCCACACUGGGACUGAGACACGGCCCAGACUCCUACGGGAGGCAGCAGUGGGGAAUUUUGGACAAUGGGCGAAAGCCUGAUCCAGCAAUGCCGCGUGUGUGAUGAAGGCCUUCGGGUUGUAAAGCACUUUUGGCGGGAACGAAAAGGACUGUGCCAAUACCACGGUUCGAUGACGGUACCCGCAGAAUAAGCACCGGCUAACUACGUG